GUGGGGAAUCUUCCGCAAUGGACGAAAGUCUGACGGAGCAACGCCGCGUGAGUGAAGAAGGUUUUCGGAUCGUAAAGCUCUUUCGUUAGGGACGAACGUGCUCUUUGUGAAUAAUGAGGAGUAAUGACGGUACCUAAAUAAGAAGCCACGGCUAACUACGUGCCAGCAGCCGCGGUAAUACGUAGGUGGCAAGCGUUGUCCGGAAUUAUUGGGCGUAAAGCGCGCGCAGGCGGGAUAUCAAGUCUGUCUUAAAAGUGCGAGGCUCAACCUCGUGAGGGGACAGAAACUGGUAUUCUUGGGUGUCGGAGAGGAAAGUGGAAUUCCAAGUGUAGCGGUGAAAUGCGUAGAGAUUUGGAAGAACACCAGUGGCGAAGGCGACUUUCUGGACGAUGUCUGACGCUGAGGCGCGAAAGCUAGGGGAGCGAACGGGAUUAGAAACCCCUGUAGUCC
RNAcentral lists this ribosomal RNA (450 nucleotides) under uncultured bacterium. Its description in RNAcentral is "partial 16S ribosomal RNA". It matches the Rfam family "Bacterial small subunit ribosomal RNA", at positions 354 to 796 of the family's 1533-position model. The record is from RNAcentral.